This 493-nucleotide long non-coding RNA is filed under the name Mytilus galloprovincialis (Mediterranean mussel). Lineage: Eukaryota; Metazoa; Mollusca; Bivalvia; Mytilida; Mytilidae. The record is from RNAcentral.
UCGUCUACAAAAGAGGGACGAAAGAUACCAAAGGGACAGUCAAACUCAUAAAUCUAAAACAAACUGACAACGCCAUGGCUAAAAAUGAAAAAGACAAACAGAAAAACAAUAGUACACAUGACACAACAUAGAAAACUAAAGAAUAAACAACACGAACCCCACCAAAAACUAGGGGUGAUCUCAGGUGCUCCGGAAGGGUAAGCAGAUCCUGCUCCACAUGCGGCACCCGUCGUGUUGCUUAUGUGAUUACAAAUCCGGUAAAUAGUCUAAUUAGGUAGGUCAAAUUCAUGAAAGGGAAGGGGAUUGUAGUUACGACGUGAGGAACAUAUCCGAUAUCAUUUGUGAAAUGGUUAUUCCAUAACGGUCAACAACUCGUGAUGGCGUCCGUAAAAUUUACGAAGGGAUGAUUUCAACUUCACCAUUUGGAACUCUUGAUUUAAUAGCUUCCUUGUGAGCAGUAACCCUCUAUCAAGAAAAUCAUGAUAGGAAAUGC